Molecule: long non-coding RNA, 2475 nt
Organism: Panicum virgatum (switchgrass)
Lineage: Eukaryota; Viridiplantae; Streptophyta; Magnoliopsida; Poales; Poaceae
Exons: 7
Source: RefSeq, a predicted model, not a curated record
AGUAUGUAGAUGUUGUCUUAAAUUAUGUACUGCUGUUUGUGACUUGUAUAUUUUUGUUACAUGUGAAUGAUACUAUAUUGAUGGCGUCAUGCUUGGCCUCUAGUGAAUUAGGAGUAAUUUGUGAUGGAUUGUUACAAAAUUGGAUAAUUCUCCAUCAGUACGAUGUAGUGUAUUACUGUAUUACCUUCUUGGAGUAGCAAUUCAGAGUGAUACCCUAAAUUUAUUUUUUGGUUCCUCUACAGGCCUCCACCUCUUCCUAAUCUAGAGGUUUCAGUUAUGGUUGUUGAGAAAGCUGCAGAUCAUGCUCUUGUAUGGAUCAAUAGGUUGCUCGCUGUUGGCGAUGGCAUCGCAAUUAAGAGAGAUGGGAGAGUUUUUAUACAGGACACCUGCUCAAGCGUGGGUUCUGCUUGCUAUUUCCAUGUGGCCUUGUUGCACAGUUGAUGCUCCUUGGGCUGGAUGUGAUCUGCUGAUACAUUCCUGGCAAGUUCUUCAGGAGAGGUAGUGGCUGGGUGCAAAGGAAUUUAUGAUAUGGAAGGCUUAAGUAGUGCUCUGUACCACAACACAAUGUUGUAGAAAAGAUAGCUACUGAUGCUCAGUGCUCUGGCGUUCUGCGCAAGCUGCUAAACUAAGGAAUCUGGCCUCCUCUGCUACCUUCCUACAAAUACCUAAGCAAUUCUGUAGAACUUGAGACUGGCAAUUAUGAAGAACUUCAAAUGGUGAGGUCAGGGUAGCAGUAAAAUGGCAUUGCAUUUGACUGACAAAGUGGCAACAUGGUUCUCGUGAAAUUCAGGACUGUUAUAAUUAGGCAUAAAGCCUUUGGUUAAUAUAGAAGCCUGCCAGGUAACAAUCAGUUACCAAAUUAUUUAGAACUGUUGAUGACCUGACUUUUAGUUUUGGUGGAGCAGUUGAAGGGAGCCAAUAAGGGACUUUUCAGAUUAAUUUUCCCUAGCAGAUUAAUUUGAUACUUGCUCUGCAUGGCUGCAUACUGAAUGAUCUAUGGUGAAUGGGAGCACCUGUAUCCAUGUCCUACCAAAUCCGAUUUGAGAUGCUGUACAUGUCUGAUUUCUGUGUAGUGCAACAUUGGAUCCAUUUUGGUUCAUUAUCCAUGUCCUGCUAACGAUGUUCAACCCCACAAUAUUAUUUGCUUCGUGUCAAGGAGCACCUGUGCACUAAUGCCAUAUGGAUGCCCAGUGUUUCACAAGAUUUUAGGCAAUUAUUAUUGUGAUUACCAUUUAUCAAAAAAAAAAACCCUGCUGUUUACCAGUAAAGAUAACUUAGUAAGUUUAUGAGCUAGUGGCUUGUUCUGUUCUUCUGUUUAUGAGCUAAUCGGCUUUUACUGUUUUCAUAAUCGGCUUUUACUGUUUCAUGCACAUAUACAUAUCAUAUAUUAAUCAAAGUAUCAGUGCCUUCUCAUGAUUACACAAUAGAACUCAUGCACAUAUACUGCAGCUAUUUGUUUCUUUUUUAUCUACAGGCUUACACAGCUUUGGAGAAAAACAUGAUAUAUUCCUUACUAAGAGUAGUGCUUUUGCUGGUUUGGAAAUGGGAACGGUGGGUGAUUGACUUCAAUCUUAUCCUCUAGGUCAGUACUAUGUUUUUCAUUCCUAUAUUAUCAACUCAUUUUUCCCAUACAUGUGCAACUCAGCAACCUAUUCUAUCUUGCCAUCUUGGUGCCUAAUAUGAACCUGCUGCAUCCAUCACUAUUGCAUAGAUCAAUGUGAAGUAACAAAAAAAAGACCAUGCUUUAUAAUCUGAACCAUGUGUGAUUGGCCAUAUAAAAUUUCUUUUAGCAAUGUCUUUUGUCUGCUUCCACAUUUCCAAAUCCAUUUGUUUCUCAAAAAGUUAUUAAAUUAGGGGAUAAUAUAUAUGUGAAUUUGAAUUUGAAACUAGAGAUCACCUUCGGAGUCACAAGAAUGAUCUGUCGAUGUUGUAGCUCCUUACUGUUGGUGGCACAAAAAUACAGAGUGCCCAAAAUGUAGCCAGAAAGUUCUUCCAAGCCAACUUGUAAAAAUUACAAAACUAACUUACUUGAAAACAUACUUACUGCAGCUGAAGAAACAGAGUAUACUUACUGCAGCUGAAGAAACAGAUUAUACUUACUGCUACAUUGUUUUUAAUCUAGGGAGUAAUAUCUUCAAACUGCAUGUGGGUUACUUUUCAGUCUAGAGAUCUGAUUCAGUUUAUCCGUAGAGAUCUACGGCUACAACCGACUUCUGUAGAUGCUAACUUUUCAUCAGGAUGAACUGAAUUUAUAUUUUGGGCUUGUGUAUAUCUUCCACUCCUAGUCAAUAUGCAUCCACCACUGUGCGUUCAGCUCUAAAAUGUCUAUUUGUCAUCCUACCCAGAGUACAAAUUGCAUGACCAAUUGACUGAUGUCCUGCAAUGAUGCUUUAAUAUACUUACAUUCUGUACUCCACCAUUAAACUGUAAAUUCGCUGGUUAAAUUAAUCUUUGUAAUAAGUUCAGUAUACUCCA